AUUGAACGCUGGCGGCAUGCUUUACACAUGCAAGUCGAACGAGUGGCGAACGGGUGAGUAAUAUAUCGGAACGUACCGAGUAAUGGGGGAUAACUACUGGAAACGGUAGCUAAUACCGCAUACCAUCAGAUGUGCCCAGAUGGGAUUAGCUAGUUGGUGGGGUAACGGCGUACCAAGGCGACGAUCCCUAGCUGGUCUGAGAGGAUGACCAGCCACACUGGAACUGAGACACGGUCCAGACUCCUACGGUAGGCAGCAGUGGGGAAGAUUGCAUGAGGGGCGCAGGCCUGAUGCAGCCAUGCCGCGUGUAUGAAGAAGGCCUUCGGGUUGUAAAGUACUUUCAGCGGGGAGGCGUUACCCGCAUAAUAAGCACCGGCUAACUCCGUGCCAGGAGCCGCGGUGAUAC
RNAcentral lists this ribosomal RNA (406 nucleotides) under uncultured bacterium. RNAcentral describes it as "partial 16S ribosomal RNA". It matches the Rfam family "Bacterial small subunit ribosomal RNA", at positions 30 to 526 of the family's 1533-position model. The record is from RNAcentral.